Molecule: transfer RNA, 67 nt
Filed under: Empoasca sp. EMHAU_031203
Lineage: Eukaryota; Metazoa; Arthropoda; Insecta; Hemiptera; Cicadellidae
Description: tRNA-Ser
Source: RNAcentral
AAGGGUUAAAGAAAAUGAAGGCAGCUGCUAACUGACUCCAAAGCGGUUUAAUUCCGUUUGUCCCUUA